Molecule: long non-coding RNA, 1509 nt
Organism: Daphnia magna
Lineage: Eukaryota; Metazoa; Arthropoda; Branchiopoda; Diplostraca; Daphniidae
Exons: 2
Source: RefSeq, a predicted model, not a curated record
UUUUGUGCAGGAUACUGUACACCAGGAGUAGUAACGGGGUACCUUUUGCAUUGGAGAGCUUUGAGCUGCGCAAGUUAAUCUCCAUAGAUGGCGUUGCGGUUGUUCGAUCUGGAUUUUAAAGGAAGAGAAUAGAGGGAAACAAAGGUAGUCCGUUUUUAACUUCGUCUGCUACGGUUUUGUUUGGUGACGAAGUUAAAAAAUCGGUCUGCUUCCUGCUAUUCGCUUCCUGUGAAUUCCAGACCGCCAUCUACGGAGCUUAACAUGCGGAGCUCAAGUUGUUUUGCAGGCGUUACUACUCCUGGUGUACUUCAUGGUUAUAAUUUAAUUCCCUCUUGGUAACCAAGAGGUCUAAAGGACCUUUAUUCCACUCCCUUUUUCUGACUUGAUAGCAUUUUCUACUAAUAUCUUGUAAACGGCAUUAUAGAUCUUGAUGCUGGAUAGCUAGUAAUUAGCAUCUCGGGGCACUACUAAUUAUGAGUACAAAGUUUUAAUCUGUUAUUUGUGGGAACAACGUGCCAUUUCGUGGGGGAAAAGGGCGGAGCUACACAUUUCACAGAUUGGUCCGUUUCCUCCGUGGAUCAGCUGAUAGUUAUUGGGGGGUCAGCGCCACCAGUGUUUAAUAUUUAAAAAUCCCUAUUGCCUUCUUGUUACAAGUGACCCUUUCCCAAUCAAGACACAUGUGUUGCGCUGUUUUCGCUGAAAUCUAAAUGGUUUCCGCUAUUUUUUGUUUGUUCCCCGCACUACAUCACCGAGAAAAAACGUUUUUCCAAGAGGAACUAGCCGUGCUCGGCAACUUGAUGUUAAGUUCAAGUGCUCUAACAAUCACUUAACUAAAUGUAAAAAAUGAAAUCAAUUGCAUUCUCGAAUCAAAUUGACGAUCAAUUUAGGUAGUUAAUACUUAACAGGUGAAUAACAGACCCCUCAAGGCCUCAACCUCAAGACGCAUGCAUUCGCAUUACUGCUUCUUAUUUGUUGACGUAGAACAUAAAAAAGCAGUUCGGAUAGUAUCAGCUAACAACAGAUGAAAUUACUUCUUACCUGCAAAGUUGCAUGCAUGCUCCAAGCCAUGAGGAGUUAAUUUUCAAAGCAAACAAGUACACACUGCCCUCACUCGUCGCUGCUCCGUUGUUAGAAGUACAGUUACUGUAUGCCAGGUCUUGUUCCAUUUUUGCUCCUGCUCGAAUACCUAACGCAUUUCACAAGCUUGUUGCAUUGCGUCAUACGCUAAUCGAGGAGAUACACUUGUUAAGAGAAAUGCAAAUUUUACACGGCAAACAAUAACCAAAACUCACCUUUUGAUAUUUACAAAUCGGCUGAUAAAAACCAGUUCAGCUGCAACUGUCUAGUAAGUAGAUAUACUAGCCACACACUGUGAAUUUUCAGCUAAGCUUCACUGUGAGACUGCAUAGCUGCAAAAUAAGAUUGGGGUCAACCGGUGGAAAAUCCGUCAGUAUAUUAAGGAUGCGAGAACAAUUAAAGUUCCUUUUUUUUUUUUUUUUCGUUGCUUAG